CCUACGGGUGGCUGCAGUGGGGAAUAUUGGACAAUGGGCGAAAGCCUGAUCCAGCAAUGCCGCGUGAGUGAUGAAGGCCUUAGGGUUGUAAAGCUCUUUUACCCGGGAUGAUAAUGACAGUACCGGGAGAAUAAGCUCCGGCUAACUCCGUGCCAGCAGCCGCGGUAAUACGGAGGGAGCUAGCGUUAUUCGGAAUUACUGGGCGUAAAGCGCACGUAGGCGGCUUUGUAAGUAAGAGGUGAAAGCCCAGAGCUCAACUCUGGAAUUGCCUUUUAGACUGCAUCGCUUGAAUCAUGGAGAGGUCAGUGGAAUUCCGAGUGUAGAGGUGAAAUUCGUAGAUAUUCGGAAGAACACCAGUGGCGAAGGCGGCUGACUGGACAUGUAUUGACGCUGAGGUGCGAAAGCGUGGGGAGCAAACAGGAUUAGAUACCCCGGUAGUC
RNAcentral lists this ribosomal RNA (440 nucleotides) under uncultured bacterium. Its description in RNAcentral is "bacterial SSU rRNA". It matches the Rfam family "Bacterial small subunit ribosomal RNA", at positions 338 to 795 of the family's 1533-position model. The record is from RNAcentral.